UCAGCUCGUGCCGUGAGGUGUCGGGUUAAGCCCCAUAACGAGCGCAACCCUUAUCGUUAGUUGCCAGCUGGUAAAGCAGGGGACUCUAGCGAAACUGCCACCGUAAGGUGAGAGGAAGUGGGGAUGACGUCAAAUCAGCAGGCCCUUAUGUCCAGGGCUACACACGUGUUACAAUGGCCGGCACAGAGGGCAGCUACCUGGUGACAGGAUGCUAAUCUCGAAAACCGGUCUCAGUUCGGAUCGAAGUCUGCAACUCGACUUCGUGAAGCUGGAUUCGCUAGUAAUCGCGCAUCAGCCAUGGCGCGGUGAAUACGUUCCCGGGCCUU
Molecule: ribosomal RNA, 326 nt
Filed under: uncultured Sphingobacteriales bacterium
Lineage: Bacteria; Pseudomonadati; Bacteroidota; Sphingobacteriia; Sphingobacteriales
Description: bacterial SSU rRNA
Rfam family: Bacterial small subunit ribosomal RNA
Source: RNAcentral